RNAcentral lists this ribosomal RNA (372 nucleotides) under uncultured organism. Its description in RNAcentral is "bacterial SSU rRNA". It matches the Rfam family "Bacterial small subunit ribosomal RNA", at positions 526 to 896 of the family's 1533-position model. The record is from RNAcentral.
CAGAGACUGCAAGCGUUAUUCGGAUUCACUGGGCGUAAAGGGUGCGCAGGCGGCCAAGUGUGUGAGGCGUGAAAGCCCGGAGCUUAACUUCGGAAUUGCACCUCAAACUACAUGGCUAGAGCAUUGGAGAGGGUAGCGGAAUUCACGGUGUAGCAGUGAAAUGCGUAGAUAUCGUGAGGAACACCAGAGGCGAAGGCGGCUACCUGGACAAUUGCUGACGCUCAGGCACGAAAGCGUGGGGAGCAAAAGGGAUUAGAUACCCCUGUAGUCCACGCCCUAAACGGUGCACACUAGGUCUUGGCGGAUUCGACCCCUCCAGGGCCCAAGCUAACGCGUUAAGUGUGCCGCCUGAGGACUACGGCCGCAAGGCUA